This 474-nucleotide ribosomal RNA is filed under the name uncultured organism. RNAcentral describes it as "partial 16S ribosomal RNA". It matches the Rfam family "Bacterial small subunit ribosomal RNA", at positions 334 to 799 of the family's 1533-position model. The record is from RNAcentral.
CACUCCUACGGGAGGCAGCAGUGGGGAAUUUUGGACAAUGGGCGAAAGCCUGAUCCAGCAAUGCCGCGUGUGUGAAGAAGGCCUUCGGGUUGUAAAGCACUUUUGUCCGGAAAGAAAUCCUUGGCUCUAAUACAGUCGGGGGAUGACGGUACCGGAAGAAUAAGCACCGGCUAACUACGUGCCAGCAGCCGCGGUAAUACGUAGGGUGCGAGCGUUAAUCGGAAUUACUGGGCGUAAAGCGUGCGCAGGCGGUUUGCUAAGACCGAUGUGAAAUCCCCGGGCUCAACCUGGGAACUGCAUUGGUGACUGGCAGGCUAGAGUAUGGCAGAGGGGGGUAGGAUUCCACGUGUAGCAGUGAAAUGCGUAGAGAUGUGGAGGAAUACCGAUGGCGAAGGCAGCCCCCUGGGCCAAUACUGACGCUCAUGCACGAAAGCGUGGGGAGCAAACAGGAUUAGAAACCCGGGUAGUCCCAUG